ACGUAGGGUGCGAGCGUUAAUCAGAAUUACUGGGCGUAAAGCGCGCGCAGGCGGUUCGCUAAGACAGGUGUGAAAUCCCCGGGCUUAACCUGGGAAUGGCGCUUGUGACUGGCGGACUGGAGUACGGCAGAGGGGGGUGGAAUUCCACGUGUAGCGGUGAAAUGCGUAGAGAUGUGGAGGAACACCAGUGGCGAAGGCAGCACCCUGGAUAGAUACUGACGCUCA
RNAcentral lists this ribosomal RNA (225 nucleotides) under uncultured prokaryote. RNAcentral's name for it is "partial 16S ribosomal RNA". It matches the Rfam family "Bacterial small subunit ribosomal RNA", at positions 525 to 749 of the family's 1533-position model. The record is from RNAcentral.